UGAUGGUGGGUUGUGUUUAGGAGUAGUAUUAACAUGAGACACAGUGAUGGUGGGUUGUGUAUAGGAGUAGUAUUAACAUGAGACACAGUGAUGGUGGGUUGUGUUUAGGAGUAGUAUUAACAUGAGACAGUGAUGGUGGGUUGUGUUUAGGAGUAGUAUUAACAUGAGACAGUGAUGGUGGGUUGUGUUUAGGAGUAGUAUUAACAUGAGACACAGUGAUGGUGGGUUGUGUUUAGGAGUAGUAUUAACAUGAGACAGUGAUGGUGGGUUGUGUAUAGGAGUAGUAUUAACAUGAGACAGUGAUGGUGGGUUGUGUCACAGAAAAACACAGCCAUUUUUCCAGCCAAAGAGUGGACUCACAAAAAGCAGAAACAGAGAAUUAAUCAAAUUAAUCACUAACCUUUGAUGAUCUUCAUCAGAUGACGUUCAUAGGACUUCAUGUUACACAAUACAUGUAUGUUUUGUUCGAUAAAGUUCAUAUUUAUAUCCAAAAAUCUCAGUUUACAUUGGCGCGUUAUGGUCAGAAAUGCAUUGUCUCAAACAAACAUCCAGUGAAAGUGCAGAGAGCCACAUCAAAUUAAAGAAAUAAUCAUCACAAACAUUGAUAAACAAUACAAGUGUUAAACAUACAAAUAAAGAUAAACUUCUCCUUAAUGCAACCGCUGUGUCAGAUUUCAAAAAGUCGUUACGGAGAAAGCACACUUUGCGAUUAUGUUAGGUCUGCACCUAGCCACAGAAACCCAUACAGCCAUUUUACAGCCAAGGACAGUGUCACAAAGUCAGAAAUAGCAUUAAAAUUAAUCACCUACCUUUGAUGAUCUUCAUCUGGUGGCACUCCCAGGUCUCCAUGUUAGACAAUAAAUGUUUGUUUUGUUCAAUAAUGUCCCUCUUUAUGACCAAAUACCUCCUUUUUGUUUGCGUGUUUUGUCCAGUAAUCCGAAUGCUUAAAUUAAGGUGUGUGCACUAAUUCCAGUCGAAAAGUUUUUAAAAAGUACAAUAAAAGUUAGUAGAAACAUACCAAACAAUGUUAAAAAUUAAUCCUCCGGUUGUUUUUGUCAUAAAUAAUCAGUAAUAUUUCAACCGGACAAAAGCUUUGUCAAUAGGAAAGGAGGAACCAGAAAGGCGCGUUCCCGAUCAGGGCGCAUGGCUGAUGAAUGGACAUUUCCACUGGCCUCUCAUUGAAACCCAUGAUCCUGCAGCAGUGUUUCCCUGGGUUCCUGUAAUGGGGGUGUGGGCUGCCCUGACUGUUGGAGCUCUUCUACUCACCAUCUACUGCACUCCGAAAAGGAGAUCCAGAGCAGGAAGUGAUGCCACAACAGACACACAG
Oncorhynchus keta (chum salmon) is the source of this 1327-nucleotide long non-coding RNA. RefSeq lists it as uncharacterized. NCBI's taxonomy places the organism in Eukaryota, Metazoa, Chordata, Actinopteri, Salmoniformes, Salmonidae. The record is from RefSeq and is a predicted model, not a curated record. The transcript is spliced from 3 exons.